ACCAUCACCGGCAUCGUCUCCCUUUCAAUCAAAGACAAUCAAUAGGAGGAGAUCAAAGAAACUACUUAAAUCCAUUUUAUUCAAUCUUGCACUUGAGGAUAAAUUAAAAUCAUGGAGUC
Dioscorea cayenensis subsp. rotundata (Guinea yam) is the source of this 119-nucleotide long non-coding RNA. RefSeq lists it as uncharacterized. The transcript has 3 exons. The record is from RefSeq and is a predicted model, not a curated record. NCBI's taxonomy places the organism in Eukaryota, Viridiplantae, Streptophyta, Magnoliopsida, Dioscoreales, Dioscoreaceae.